Molecule: RNA transcript, 8343 nt
Organism: Beta vulgaris subsp. vulgaris (sugar beet)
Lineage: Eukaryota; Viridiplantae; Streptophyta; Magnoliopsida; Caryophyllales; Amaranthaceae
Exons: 9
Source: RefSeq, a predicted model, not a curated record
GGGAACUAAUAGGAAGCCUGAAGACUAAUUGAAUAUUGACGAUAGAUGCGUAGAUGGGUGUUGGUUAAAAAUAAAAAUGAAAGGGGAUGUUGAAUUUGCGAAAUCGACUCCCCUUGGCCUUGGGGCACCGGCAUACUGAAGGGCGUUGCAGCAGCAGCUGAACAACUGAACAACUGAACAAGUGAAGAUUAACAUCGUCAUGAUCUAGUAGUUGCCAUUUUCAAACUAUGCAAAUUUUGUCACACGGCAAAAUAACAUACUCAAGAGUGAAGUAAUUAUGAGUUGUUUGGAGAUGGAAUCUGGUUCCUUGGCAUGUAUGCUGAAUACAGAAAUAAGUGCUGUUUUGGCAGUAAUGAGAAGGAAUGUCAGAUGGGGGAGUCGCUUUACCUCAGUUGAUGACCAACAAGAGCACACUCUCAUUCAGUCUUUUAAGGCUUUGAGAAAGAAAGUAUUCACAUGGCAUGCUCACUGCCACACCAUUAAUCCUGUCAUGUAUCUCCAACCUUUCCUUGCUGUCAUUCAAUCUGAAGAAACCGGUGCUCCCAUUACAAGUGUUGCUUUGUCGUCUGUCUUGAAGAUCUUAACACUAGAUCUAUUUCAUAUACAUACUGUUAAUAUUCAAGAUACAAUGCAUUUGAUUGUUCAAGCUGUCACCACCUGUCAUUUUGAGGUUACUGAUCCAGCUUCUGAAGAAGUCGUACUAAUGAAGAUUCUUCAGGUUCUUUUAGCAUGUGUAAGAAGUAAAGCAUCACUUGCUUUGAGUAAUCAACAUGUUUGCAAUAUAGUGGAAACUUGUUUUCGGAUUGUUCAGCAAACAGCUUCAAAGGGUGAGUUAGUGCAGCGCAUUGCUCGUCACUCAAUGCAUGAACUUGUUCGUUCUAUUUUUUCACGCCUUCCAGAAGCAAACCGCACAUAUCAUGAGUUGACUAGUGGAGGCAACUUAAUUAAUCAUGAGAUUCAGCAGGUUAAUAGUGAUCCCAAUUUAGUAGCUCCUGAACCUGGUUUUAAUGAUAACACUACAAACUACAGUGAAGUGUUCGUGGGAUGUUCUACUUCCAGCUCUAUUCCUUUGGUAGAUGGUAUGACUAAUGGAACCAUGGAUGAUGUAUUGCAUUAUGAUUCACUUCUCAUGAAUCAGCAAUUCGGAGUGCCAUGUAUGGUUGAGGUACUUCGUUUAUUGUGUUCUUUGUUGAACAUUACAGAGCAUGUUGAUACGAGUCGGAAAUCCAACUCUUUGGCUUUUGAUGAAGAUGUACCCCUUUUUGCUUUGGGCUUGAUUAAUUCAGCUAUAGAGUUAGGUGGUCCUUCAUUGCACAGGCACCCAAGGUUGCUAAACUUGAUUCAGGAUGAUCUAUUCUGCAAUCUGAUGCAAUUUGGCUUGUCUAUGAGCCCACUUAUUCUUUCUGUGGUUUGUAGCAUCGUUCUCAAUUUAUAUCAGCACUUGCGUGUUAUGCUGAAACUACAAUUGGAGACUUUCUUUUCUUCUGUGAUAUUGAGGCUUGCACAGAGUAGUUACGGGGCUUCUUAUCAGCAGCAGGAGGUUGCAAUGGAGGCCCUUGUUGAUUUCUGUAGGCAGAAGACAUUUAUAAUGGAGAUGUAUGCUAAUUUUGAUUGCAAUCUAACCUCUAGAAAUAUUUUUGAAGAGUUGGUUAAUGUGUUGUCAAAAAGUGCAUUUCCAGUGAAUAGUACACUCUCCACGAUGCACAUUCUUGCUUUGGAAGGCUUGAUUGCAGUGAUCCAGGGAAUGGCUGGAAGGACAAAGGAAGAAGUUCGUCUGGGCAACACUCCCACCACGCUUGAAGUGUAUAAACCAUAUUGGUUGUUCAAGUGUGAUAGUUACGAGGAACCGAGUCAUUGGGUUCCAUUUCUUCGCCAAAUGAAGUAUAUCAAGCAGCGCUUGAUGACUGGUGCCGAUCAUUUCAAUCUUGGCCCCAAGAAAGGACUGGAGUUUCUUCAGGGAACACAUUUGUUGCCUGAGAAACUUGAUGCUCAAAGUGUAGCUUGCUUUCUUAGAUAUACUGGUGGGUUAGAUAAGAAUCUCGUUGGAGACUUCCUGGGAGAUCAUGAGGAGUUUUGUGUUCAGGUUCUUAAUGAAUUUGCUCAGACUUUUGAUUUUAAGGGUAUGAGUUUGGAUAAUGCAUUAAGGAUCUUUUUGGAGACCUUCAGACUCCCUGGAGAGUCACAAAAGAUACAGAGAGUGCUUGAAGCAUUCUCAGCGAGGUACUAUGAGCAGUCGCCACAUAUUUUUGCAAACAAAGAUGCUGCUCUAGUGCUGUCUUAUUCACUUAUAUUGUUGAAUACUGAUCGGCAUAAUGCACAAGUGAAAAAGAAGAUGACAGAGGAGGAUUUUAUACGAAAUAAUAGGCGUAUCAAUGAUGGUAAUGACCUCCCUCGAGAAUUAUUGUCCCAGUUGUACAACUCAAUCUGUGAGCAUGAGAUACGUAUUACUCCAGAGCAAGGUUCUGGUUCCUGUGAAAUGAGACAGAGCCAUUGGAUGGAUCUGAUGCAAAAAUCCCGUAAUACAUCUCCUUAUAUAGUAGCAGUUGAUAAGCCGUAUCUUGAUGAUGAUAUGUUUGCUUUAAUAGCAGGCCCAACUGUUGCUGCCAUCUCUGUUGUAUUUGAUCAUGCAGAGGAUGAGGAUGUUUACCAACUUUGCAUCGAUGGCUUCUUAGCUGCUGCUAAGAUUGCAGCACACUUCCAUCUCGACUCUGUGCUUGAUGAUAUUGUCAUUUCUCUUUGCAAGUUUACAACACUCUUGAAUCCGUCAUAUUUUGAGGAGUUUCUUUUGGCAUAUAGUAAUGACACAAGGGCCAGGAUGGCGACAAUGACAGUGUUCACUGUUUCAAAUAUAUAUGGUGAUUAUAUUCGAACAGGCUGGCAAAACAUACUAACCUGCAUCUUGCGAUUUUAUGAAUUUGGCUUUCUUUCUGCCUUUUCCGUGUGUGACACUGCAGAUGAACCUGGUUUCUCUGCUAUUCUUGGAGUGGCUGGACAUGUAAAGCCUCUGCUAAAUUCAUUACCUUUGCCUCACAUACAAUCAAGUGUUGCUCCUAAGAAACCUUCAGGGCUCAUGGGCCGCUUUAGUCAGCUCCUAUCCUUUGAGAUCGAGGAGCCGAGUGCACAGCCCUCUGAAGAGGAAGUUUUUGCUCAGCAGCGUAUCGAAGAGACAAUUCAGAAGUGCCAAAUCAACAAUAUUUUUAUUGAGAGCAAAUUUUUGCAGGCUGAUGCCUUGAUGCAUCUUGUAUGUGCAAUUGUGGCGGCAGAGCAAAUACAAACGGAAGCUAGUUAUUCGGAGAAUGAAGUUAAUGCUGCAUUUUGUCUCGAGUUAUUGAUUGCCAUCACUCUGAACAACCGAGAUAGGAUCUCACUUCUAUGGCAGUCUGUCUAUGAGCACAUCUCUAAUAUUGUUCAAUCAACUACGGUUCCGUGUGCUUUGGUGGAAAAGGCUGUUUUUGGGCUUCUUCGGAUAUGCCAACGCUUAAUACCCUAUAAAGAAGAUUUAAUUGAUGAAAUUUUGAAGUCACUGCAGUUAGUUUUGAAGCUUGAUGCUCGGGUUGCUGAUGCUUACUGUGAACAAAUUACACAGGAAGUAGGACAGCUAGUGAAGACAAAUGCCAAUCGCAUCAGAUCACAGAUGGGUUGGCGUGUGAUCCUGUCUCUUCUUGCAAUUACAGCACGACAUCCAGAGGCUUCUGAAGCUGGAUUUGAAGCACUAUCUUUCAUAAUGAGCGAGGGAGCCCACUUGUUGCCUUCAAAUUUUGUUCUUUGUGUUGAUGGAGCAACGCAAUUUGCGGGGUCUCGUGUGGGUGAAGUGGAGCGAUCUGUCCAUGCAUUGGAUCUGAUGUCAGGAUCAUUGAGUUGUUUGGUUCGGUGGGCACGUGAGAGCAAGGAACUUGUGAAUGUGAAUGAAGUUGCUAUGGUCUCUAAGGAUAUUGGUGAGAUGUGGUUAAGACUUGCGCAAGGAUUGAGAAAGCUUUGUUUGGAUGACAGGGAAGUUGUUCGGAACCACGCUCUUUUUUCUCUACAGAAAUGCUUGAGCGGGGUGCAAGAGAUCUAUCUUUCACACUUGUGGUUACAGUGUUUUGAUGUGGUCAUAUUUCCGUUGCUGGACGACUUUGUCGAAAUUGCGCAAGGGAAAUCUUCAAAAGCAUACAGAAACCUGGAAGCCAUGCUUUUGGUUGCCAUCAAGCUCCUAUCUAAAGUGUUUCUGCUCUCUCUCAAUGAAGUUAUGCAGUUACCAACAUUUAACAACUUGUGGAUGGCUGUUUUACGCCAGAUGGAAACUUAUAUGAAGGUCAACAUUAGAGGAAAGAAGAGCGAGAAGCUCCGUGAACUAGUUCCUGAGCUCCUCAAAAACUCAUUGCUUAUAAUGAAGACAGGGGGGCUGCUUAUACCGGGUAGUGGUUCGGGUGGAGAUAGCUUAUGGGAACUGACAUGGUCACAUGUGAAUAAAAUUGCACCUUCCUUGCAAGCUGAAGUGUUUCCAAAUGCUGAUUUAGAUAGAGGGCAGCAUAACCAAGGCAAGAAAGAAGCAAUCCAAGCCUCCGCCGUUUCUAUUCCUAGCAAAACUGUGGCUUUAGAAGGUUAAAACGAACUGACCAUGUGUAUUGGAGACUGUUGCCUUUCACCAGUUCAAGUUGAUACACGUAGUGAUGGUCGAAUAAGAAAUAUUGUCCAAGAUGUGCUAUUUGUGCUGAUGUUUUGAAUUAAUACGGAUGAAAAAACCCUGGUCUGGACUUAUAUGCUUUGAAGUCAAUGGUACACAUACAAAGAUGGAUGUCAAGCUUCUGCCAGUUGAAUUUCGUUGAACUUGUGCAAUGUAAUAAUGGGGAUAUCUCGAUUCUCUGGAGGCCAAACACAUUUCAGGUGACUGAAGAUAAUGGUAAGACGGUUUUUCGAAUCAAGGUCCAGAAGUAUGAGAUCAUGCAUGACAUCAAUGCCUUUCGGAGCAUUCUUGAGCGUUCUGGAGGACCCUUGUACAUUCUUGUAGAAUCUUCUAGCUUAGUCCAUCCUUGUGCAGAUUUGUAUAGAGCAUUCUAGAAAGGCCUUGUAUCUUAGCUUUGUGUAUUUUCCACGAUUGAUACCGAAUAUACUGAUUAAGAUUGUAAAUUCUCUUUUUUGUUUUUCUUCCCCUUGGUAUCUAAUUGAUCACGAUAUUAUAAUUUGUUAAUUGCAUUGUAGCUUUGAAGAUGUUAUUUCAUAUAGUUUUAAAUGUCGUUUCUUAAUUUUGAGUCCAAAUCUUACCUUUAGAAUCACGGUUAAUUUUGUUAAGUCUACCUAAUUGAGUACUUCUAUACUUGUACACGGAUGAACAUUUCUAUGAUGUUCGUAAAUAAAUAUGACAAUGGAAAUUUAAUGAUUUAGGAUGAUUUUAGAUUAUAUAAUACGGGUCUUAUAUCAUUCUAACUCUUUAGUAUACUUUCUCUGGUUCCUUUUAUGGAAAUGUCACCUUAAGUGACACAUAACUUAAAAUGCCGAACAAACUUCUAUUUCCUUACUCUUUAAAAAGCAAGAAGUUUGGUUGCUGUAGCAAUAUAAUAGUGAAUGGGUGGUUUUGCCCGUUGUGUUCCUUGUUCCUUCCAAAGACAAAAGGUAACUGGUUUUGCCCUUGCUUUGCCUUUUUUCUGUCCCUGUAGCUGUUGCUUCCCUCUCUUCAGCUUGUACCUGCUUUUCUUUCUUUACUUUCUCUUUCCUCCCCGUUUUCCUAAUAAAUCUCCUCCAUCUUCAUCCUUCUCUAUAACCUAGAUGAUUCUCCUUCAUUUUCUCUCUCCUCUCCUCUUCUUUGUUUUUGUUGUUUUUUUUCUUGCUCAGGGUUUAUCAGCUCAACUAUCAGUGGUGCUUCCUCCUAAAGGAUGGAACUUUAUGCUUUAAAGAAGGUGUGCUUGAGAUAUACAAAAGGUAAGGCAAGUCAGUUUAGAAAAUUUAGAAUUAACUAAUUGGUACUCCCUCCGCUUUUAUUUAUUUGCUACAUUCUUGUUUACACAAGAAUUUAGGAGAUGUCCCUUUCAUUCUUUUUUGGUGUACUUUUUGACCCCUUUAGCAUUAAAUAAGGUGGGAAAAGGGAAAAAAGUAGUACUUUUUGGUGGAAGAAGAGGGGAAACAAAUAUAAUACUAUUACUUUUUGGUGGGCCAAGUCUCCUAAUAAGGAAAUGUAGCAAAUAAAAAAAAGCAACCCUUUUUGGAAAAUGUAGCAAAUAAAUAAAAGCAGAGGGAGUAAAUGAUAUUGUUCUCAAUUUUGAAAAAGUCAGCUUCCUGUAUUUUCAUCUAACUAUGUAUUUCUAAUGUUAAUCUUUGUUAUCCUAUUCUCAUCUUCGCCUUCCAUUCUCCUGUACUCAGGUAAAUCAAAAUGCUUUUCUUUAAUUCUUUGUAGUUGCUACAUUCAGUUUAUGUUCCAAAAUUAAAAUUUUGAUUGUGUUUUAUUUUGAAUUUUUCCUGAUAGAAUUACAAUUUGCCAUCUAUUAUUUUUGAAUUUCCACAUUAAUUGUGUUAUGAAGUGGACUGAGGUAACUGCACCUUUUGACUUAACUUGUUUACCGUGGGUUAUUCUUGUUAAGUAAGAGACUAAGAGUAACCAUAUUAUUUUUCUUUUCCUUUCCCUUAUAUAUCUUUGACUAAGAGUAACCUGGUUAAGAACAUUUUGUGUGACUCAAGGUUUCAGAGGCUGGAUUUUGAGGCAAGAAAAGUUGCAUUUUUGGACUUCUAAGGUCCGGUAUUCUGAUUAUAUAUGAAUGGUGUGGUUGUGUUUGGGUUCUCUUUGACUUGCUGCAUGUAUACUGGACGCUUGGAGAUAAUAUUGGUCUGCUCCUUGAUGGAUGUAAUCAAGGGAGAAUUCGAGAAGGGAGAUGAUAGUGAUCCUUGGGUCAAAUGGAAGCAAGGAGGCAUUAUUGGCAGAGCUGCUUUUGGCUGGAGGGGUAGUGUUGACUGUAAUCGGAGGAGUAGUUGCUCCUGCAAUCUCUCAAGGGUUUGGCGCUGUGCUCCAACAUUGGGAAGUCUGUAACCUGCCACUGGUGCAGGUGGAUUUUCUGCAGCUGCUACUGCUGUUAGAUAUUUUGAAUGUUGUCAAGGAAGAACCUGAAGUCAAAUUAGAGGAUAAUUUACUUCUUGAUGCAAAUAAUGGAGAUACUGCUCUUUUAUCUAAAGCAAUGGCGGAAGAAGAAAAGAAAUUGCUCGAAGCGAGAGUGAAGGAAGAAGAGAAAUUGGCAAAUGAAGCCGGCCAUUUGAAUGAGAUUCAGUUUUUUAAAGUUUGAUGAUUUUGAACUCAAAGCAGCUUUACUCAGCAUUCUUGUUGGAAAAGAUGGAUCACGUUACAUUAAAUGGAGUGGAGGAACAAAAAGAAGAGCCCGGCAGGGGAAGGAAGAGAGGACGGGGUGGAAAGAGGGAAGCUUCACAGUACGAUGAUGUGAGCAGUGAGCACUUCACUUUUUCCUUGAAUUUAGGAGCAGUAUUGUGGCAUUUGUUUACGUAGUAACAAGUUAUGAUAGUGUCAGCCAAUGCUUAAUCGACAGCGAUGCAGAAUUGGUGUUAUUUUGGUGAUGUAUCUGGAUGUUCCUUUUCUCUUUAUGGUGGCCAAACUUAAUGGGGUUUUGUUUCUGUCACGUACCAAUGUUCUACUUUACAUGUUCGAAAAUGGAUGGGAAUCUUUAUUUGUUGUUAAGUUGGUGCUGAUCUUUAACCAUGGACCUAACUGUUAAUUGUAUUCCUUUAUGUACUAUAUAUUUGAAUUUUGUUGUUGGAACAUCAUAUGUAUUUAACAUUUUACAUUUUGUAUAAAAGUUUGUAAUCUUUAUUCAGGAAUGAGGUCCUUCAGAUAUCAUCUCUCGUUAUGUAAUGCAUGGAAGCAACAUAGCUGAGAUACUCAAGCAGUAAUAGCUUUCUGGAAGCACUUAAAAGGGCAAGACAUCAGUGAACUGGUUUUGAAAUUAUUUAUAGUUAUCCAUGUGCCAUUAGACUGCUUUGCUGUAUUUUGGUUCUUGACAGAUGGUGGCACCUGGCACUUCAGCACUGUGUAAAGAUAUAAUUGCGCAACUUUUACCAUUAAUCUCAAAAGGAGUCCUGACUCAUGGUGUUUAAUGCUGACGGAAAGAAAAGAGAUCAAUCAUUUUAGGCGUGGGUUCCACAGGAAGAAAUGAGGUGCGGACCUUGGCUAAUAUUCAAGGGAAGAUGAAGGUGAAGACGGGCGAGCAAGCGGAGCGGGAUGGAGGAAAAUUGAAAGUCAUAGAAUCCUAUGUGAAGUUUGGUUAUUGUUAUUAUUGUUUUGACACAUAGAUAAUGUUUCAAGAGAUGAUGUAUUGGAAUUUGGAGUUGGAUAAAACUUUAUAGUAUAUCCUAAUCUUGUUUUUUUAA